UAACCAUGGUGAGAAGAGUCUAGUGUAUACUCCUUGAAGCGCUCUCAAGCCUCAUGAAAGCUAUCAGAACCAAGCUGCUGAAAUUUUCCAAUCUUACUCCUCAGAUA
Molecule: non-coding RNA, 107 nt
Organism: Brassica napus (rape)
Lineage: Eukaryota; Viridiplantae; Streptophyta; Magnoliopsida; Brassicales; Brassicaceae
Source: Rfam